GAGUAUUUCAGAUGCACAAAUUUUAUCUCUAUUCUCACAGCUUUAUCUAUUGCAUGCAGACUUUUAAGUUAAGACACUCAGCACCUCAAGCACUGGACCAUGGUUGUUAAGCUCAAGAAAGAGAAGGGAACAUCAAUUCAAGAAGGCAACAGAGAUGUUAAUUGUAAUAGAUCCACUGAUGUAAUUCUCAUAACUGAGUUGCUCUAUCUUGACCUACAUCAGCUGUGCAUGAGAACUGCAACUUUCUCUUUUUCACCAAGUAAUUGAAAGUAAAAUUGUAGAAACUUAAAAAGAGGUAUCAGGAAAAUUUUCUGGGACAAUGUUAAUGACUCUUCAUUUGAACAAAAAAGAUGAGCUGCGUUAUCUUACUAUGUGACCAAGCUGAUAUAAUGAAGCAAAUGGCUUUUAUUGCUCAACUACUGUUUGGCUCAGUGUAAGCAACAUAUUAAUAAACAA
RNAcentral lists this long non-coding RNA (456 nucleotides) under Apteryx rowi (Okarito brown kiwi). RNAcentral's name for it is "lncRNA (ENSARWG00000016760.1)". Lineage: Eukaryota; Metazoa; Chordata; Aves; Apterygiformes; Apterygidae. The record is from RNAcentral.